Molecule: long non-coding RNA, 310 nt
Filed under: Homo sapiens (human)
Lineage: Eukaryota; Metazoa; Chordata; Mammalia; Primates; Hominidae
Description: HSALNT0161764
Source: RNAcentral
GUGGGGUUCUAUGGGGUCUCGAAUGAGGAAUAGCUAGCUGGAUUCCAGUCCACAAUGGGCACCCUCACUGUUCGGCAGCAUCCUGGGCCACAGUCCUCACGACUGGCUGGGCCAAAGAGACCCAGGACGCUGCAGGUUAAAGGCCAAGGCACUGGCCAGCCCUACGCCCACCAGCUGGACCCAGCCCAGUCCUUGUUCGUCCUCAGCUCCUCCUCCGCCUCAGGGAAGUCGCGUCCUGGUCAGGAGGACCUGCAACAGCCCACACUGUGUCCUUAGGGCGAGGGGGAGCUGAGGACUAACAAGGACUGGG